GUCUUCUUGGUGUAGUGGUCAGUACACUCGGCACGUACUCGAGAGGUCCGUGGUUCGAAUCCCGGCGAGGGCA
Molecule: non-coding RNA, 73 nt
Organism: Stegodyphus mimosarum
Lineage: Eukaryota; Metazoa; Arthropoda; Arachnida; Araneae; Eresidae
Source: Rfam